GUAGGGAGCAAGCGUUAUCCGGAUUUACUGGGUGUAAAGGGCGUGUAGGCGGGACUGCAAGUCAGAUGUGAAAACUAUGGGCUCAACUCAUAGCCUGCAUUUGAAACUGUAGUUCUUGAGUGCUGGAGAGGCAAAUGGAACUCCUAGUGUAGCGGUGAAAUGCGUAGAUAUUAGGAUGAACACCAGUGGCGAAGGCGAUUUGCUGGACAGUAACUGACGCUGAGGCGCGAAAGUGUGGGGAGCAAACAGGAUUAGAUACCCUGGUAGUCCACACCGUAAACGAUGGAUACUAGGUGUGGGGGGUCUAACCCCCUCCGUGCCGCAGUUAACACAUUAAGUAUCCCACCUGGGGAGU
RNAcentral lists this ribosomal RNA (355 nucleotides) under uncultured bacterium. Its description in RNAcentral is "bacterial SSU rRNA". It matches the Rfam family "Bacterial small subunit ribosomal RNA", at positions 527 to 881 of the family's 1533-position model. The record is from RNAcentral.